This 253-nucleotide ribosomal RNA is filed under the name uncultured bacterium. RNAcentral describes it as "partial 16S ribosomal RNA". It matches the Rfam family "Bacterial small subunit ribosomal RNA", at positions 524 to 776 of the family's 1533-position model. The record is from RNAcentral.
UACGGAGGGGGCAAGCGUUGUCCGGAAUCAUUGGGCGUAAAGCGCGCGUAGGUGGCCUCGUAAGUCCGCUGUGAAAGUCAAAGGCUCAACCUUUGAAAGCCGGUGGAUACUGUGAGGCUAGAGUACGGAAGAGGCGAGUGGAAUUCCUGGUGUAGCGGUGGAAUGCGCAGAUAUCAGGAGGAACACCAAUAGCGAAGGCAGCUCGCUGGGACGUUACUGACACUGAGGCGCGAAAGCGUGGGGAGCGAACAGG